GUGCCAGCAGCCGCGGUAAGACAGAGGUGGCAAGCGUUGUUCGGAUUUAUUGGGCGUAAAGCGAACGCAGGCGGUUUGGUAAGUCAGGGGUGAAAGACCACAGCUUAACUGUGGUAUUGCCUUUGAUACUGCCUUUCUUGAGUGGAGUAGGGGGAAGCGGAAUUCCGAGUGUAGAGGUGAAAUUCGUAGAUAUUCGGAGGAACACCGGUGGCGAAGGCGGCUUCCUGGACUCUAACUGACGCUCAUGUUCGAAAGCGUGGGUAGCAAACAGGAUUAGAAACCCCCGUAGUCC
Molecule: ribosomal RNA, 292 nt
Filed under: uncultured bacterium
Lineage: Bacteria
Description: partial 16S ribosomal RNA
Rfam family: Bacterial small subunit ribosomal RNA
Source: RNAcentral